This is a long non-coding RNA of Triticum aestivum (bread wheat), 1918 nucleotides long. RefSeq lists it as uncharacterized. Lineage: Eukaryota; Viridiplantae; Streptophyta; Magnoliopsida; Poales; Poaceae. The record is from RefSeq and is a predicted model, not a curated record. The transcript has 5 exons.
AGAGCCAACAAGAAGGGGCAGAGGAAAACUGCCCUCCCUCCCACGAUAAACAACACAAUCGGGGCGACGACGCGUCUUCGGGAGAGGAUGAGAGGAGAGGGGAGGACAAGGAGAGGCCUGGCGGCGGCUAGGGAGGUGCUCGCCGGCGAGCGGGCUCCGGCGGCCGCCUGGCGCGCGGAGUUGGAUCGGGGCGCUUCCCCGCGGCCGCGACCGUACUCGCGACGCCACCUACCCCGCCGCCUGCCGCUCCUACCCACGGGACGCUACCGCUCCGCUCCUCCUCCCAACGCGACGCUGCCAGCCCCAAGAGCGCCCACCCCGUCGGCCCUUCCCGUCACCCGGUCGCUGCAGCAGUGCCCUCCUGAUGGCCCUCGCCGGCCCUCCCCGCCGUCUCCGCGUCGUACACGCCGUCUCCCAAUCCGCAGCCAGGGGACACGCCAGCGCGCUCCCGGUGGCCCUCGCCAACCCUCCCCGCAGUCUCCGCGUUGUACCCGCCGUCUCCCCAAUCCUCAACCAGGGAACACGUCAAGAAUCUUCAGUCACGCGGCCGCCGCGCCGGAGGUCUUCCAUCUCAGCGAUGCACAUCUUUACUGUCGAGUUUAUAGUCAUCAAGCAGUCCUUAAUUUUAAGAUGAUAUCAACAUUUAUAUUCCUGGUUAUAGGGUGUUGUCAAGAAUUUCAUCACACCCACUACUUUCCCACCGAGGUAGUUUCCGCCUCCACUCUCCAGCCAUGCACAAGUGUCGUCACCUACAUCUCCUCUAUGCGUUCCUGUCUCUCCAUUCCGCACGAGGAUGCAGUCAUCACAUCCUUGAGUAGUUUGCAGGUGUUUCUUGUAGUGAUGUUAACCCCAUAAAAAAGGACUCGCAGGUGGACAUCUGAUAUAAAUAAUCAGUGGAAGACUUCUCUUUUUGAUUGACUCUGCAUCUAAAGAAGAGUAAGCAUGUAGAGGAAUUGGUGGUCCACCUUGCUGCUGCAAAUGGACUGCCCGAUUUUAUCCAUGUGUUGGACUAGAUGAUAUUUGAUGAUUUGAACCUUGCAACGGGGCGUGAGACUGCAGCAUGCUGUGUACAUAAGCAGGGAGUUGAGGGGCAGAACUGAAGGUAGACUCAGGUGCAGUUAUCCACUCCUUCUUGCUUUCACUAGAAGAGCGUAUUACGCGGUGAAAGCAAGAUCAUGCUGUACAGGCAUGCAGCUGUGAGAAAUACAGUGAUGGCUCCGUCUGAGUUCUCUAGCCCUCUGCAAUUACAGGUUUGGGUGCACACUCCGCAGAUGAUGAUGGUUCAGCAGAGAUAGCAUUGCUCUGUGUUACAUAACUAUGUUCUGUCAGUCAAGUAUCGUUACGAUGCAAUAGGCAGAGGCUUCAAAAUCAUCUGCGGAGUAAGCGAUAGGAAGCCGUUGUGCAAUAAAUGUGCUCAUAUAGACGAACGCCGUUGGUACAAAAUCUCGAUCACAUCGGCCCAUAUCAUCAGCGCACAUCAGAGCCGGCUUACCAAUGUCGGAUGUCAUCGGUUUUAUUACUCCACAGAUGUGGGUCAUCGGCCAAGAGAAAAGAUGGGAUAACAAAUAUUAUGGAUACAAGAUGGCAGCAUAUAACUUUGCAAUUUUAUGAUUUGUGAUCCGGUAGAUUUUUGCCAUGCGGAGGGCUGAUGAUUCUGGCUAUAUGCACUGGAGUUUAAGCCAUGUUUGUGAACUAAUUAGAUAUCUAUCUAUGUGAAUUUGGAGAUACAUAUGUGUUUAAGAUGAUUUGAGAGUGCCCUUACCGGUCAUGCUAUGUUCUAAUUUGUGUUCCUUUUUUACUUAACUGACAUGUAUUUUCACCAUUAAAUGUAAUAAUUACUAUUGGCUGUGUUCCAUAGUGCAAUACACAAUGAAUGGGAUUUUCCUUGGCAUGAGAUGAGAUGCCAUCGAAUUACUAA